GCGAAGGAGGUGGGAGGCGGCGCGGUAAUACGUAGGGGGCAGACUUGAAGCGGAAUUACUGGGCGGAAAGCGUGCGCAGGCGGUUUUGUAAGACAGAGGGGAAAGCCCCGGGCUCAACCUGGGAACUGCCUUUGGGACUGCAAGGCUGGAGUGCGGCAGAGGGGGAUGGAAUUCCGCGUGUAGCAGUGAAAUGCGUAGAUAUGCGGAGGAACACCGAUGGCGAAGGCAAUCCCCUGGGCCUGCACUGACGCUCAUGCACGAAAGCGUGGGGAGCAAACAGGAUUAGAUACCCGAGUAGUC
Molecule: ribosomal RNA, 300 nt
Filed under: uncultured Sulfophobococcus sp.
Lineage: Archaea; Thermoproteati; Thermoproteota; Thermoprotei; Desulfurococcales; Desulfurococcaceae
Description: bacterial SSU rRNA
Rfam family: Bacterial small subunit ribosomal RNA
Source: RNAcentral